RNAcentral lists this unclassified non-coding RNA (725 nucleotides) under Hevea brasiliensis (rubber tree). Lineage: Eukaryota; Viridiplantae; Streptophyta; Magnoliopsida; Malpighiales; Euphorbiaceae. The record is from RNAcentral.
GCAGGACCAGGAAAGUUUGAGAAGUUCUUUAUUGCAGUGGUCCUACGCUAGUUAUGCUGAGGUUUUCAUUUCCUGGAUGCACUUCUGUGCCGUACGUGUGUUUGCUGAGAGUAUCCUGAGAUAUGGUUUACCACCAUCCUUCUUGGCAUCUGUUUUGGCACCAUCUGUUAAAAGUGAGAAGAAAGUAAGAUCAAUCCUUGAAGGUUUGUGCGACAGUGCCAACAGUACAUAUUGGAAAACUGAAGAUGAAGUGGGAGGAGGGAUGGUUGGUCUUGGAGGAGAUUCUGAUGCAUACCCAUAUGUCUCCUUCACAAUCAAUCUUGCUUAAUUCACCAAAGUUAUGAAGGUUUGCUUCUAUAGAGCAAUAAUAGUGGAGUUGACCAGACCCUACAUUUAAUUAUUCACUGUCAUAUUCCUAUUCCUGGUUGUUUAUGAAUAAUUGCUUCUCAAGUUGUUCAUGUGAGGGUUUUGUGAAAUAUAUGAAGCUUACAUAUUUAUUGGAGGAUUUGUCAAUAAUCUCAUAUUCCGAGAAUUACUCUGCGAGGACUUGGGCAUUUUUGGAAAUUAAGGUACGACAUUCGGUACUGAACAAAAUUACGAUGUACAACCUAUAGAACAGAUAUUGUUCAAGUAAUGUCGUUGCUUUGAUGUUUGAUUUUAUUGCACUGUGAUUCAUACUGAAGUAAGGCUAUGUUGUUUUUCAUGGUGAUUCUGCCAUGGCGGCG